Molecule: unclassified non-coding RNA, 202 nt
Filed under: Hevea brasiliensis (rubber tree)
Lineage: Eukaryota; Viridiplantae; Streptophyta; Magnoliopsida; Malpighiales; Euphorbiaceae
Source: RNAcentral
GCCCGAUCCUUAGUCCUCAGCUCUUGUGGCUGCCGCCCCCCAAUUCUCAGUUACCGCCGCCGCCACCUUAGUCCAAGGCUCCCUCCGCCGCCUCCACCUCAGUUCUCGGCUCCUGCAUCAUCGAUUUUAUGUACUGUGACGCACGAUCAUUUAGUCAUCUACUGGGCUAGUUGGUUGAAACAAGUUGAACACGCAAAAGUUA